UUCGUCUCCGUCACCUCUACGGCACAAAACCCACACUAAAGCGAAAAGCUCAUAAAUCUCUCUCUCUCUCUCUCUCUCUCUCUCUCUCUCUCGCUCGCUCUCUCUCUACCCAUUCCCUUUUCUUUGUGCUUACUCCUACAGAGAAAUAGUUAUCUGCGUCUUCUCAGAGCCGCUCCUCUUUUCAGUUCUUACUCUCUCGGUGGAGACGACGAUUCACGCAGCGCUGAUCUGUCCUGGAAAAUCGGAACAUCACGAAGAUUUAAACAAAUGAUGAUAUGAAACAGCAUUGAAUUUCAUCGGUCUGUGAGCUUAGUACCUACUCUGUGGUUCUUCGUGCAUAAUUUACCACAGUUCUGAGCUCCUAUGGCGGAAAGGAAGCUGAAUUUUAAUGCACCUCUUCUCUCGACACGGAGGUCUCAGACGACUGCGGUUUCUGUCCGAAGAACCAAGAAGUUGUCUGAUGAAGACUUCAAGAGAAGUGAAGGCUCCUCCAAGGUUGCAGUUUGUUACCCAGACAUGGCCUUAGAUCCCAUUACUGAUCCUGCCUCUGUUCCUUUCACAUGGGAACAAGAGCCUGGAAGACUAAAAGGUGAUAGUCUCCGGCCUGAAACCCAUGAUUCUAUGCAGGAUUUUGUUCCACCUCGCAAUCCACCAGGGAAGGUAAUGGAUCUUCUGAAGUCUCCAUGGGGGAAAGAUUCUGAUGGAGAGAACGCGGUUAGAACCGCCCUUGAUGAUAACGUGACAAGAUUACAAAUCUUGAAGGGUAAACAGGUUCAAGAAUCAGAUGAUGAUGAUGACGAUGAUGCCUUUUCUGAUGCCCUUGAUACACUUUCUCCGAAAGAAUCGUGUUCUGCAGGUGUGAACCAUAGUAUAAGUGGCGUGAGUGGAUAUGGCAUUGAGAUGAAGAAGCCACCAAUCCUAGCUGAGGACCCUCAAACUCGGGAUUUCAUGUUGAAUCGUUUCUUACCCGCUGCGAAAGCCAUGACAGUGGAGCAACCUCAAUACGCUUCGAAACGACAACUGUCUCCUGUUAUGUCUGAACCAACGAGACAGAUCAGAGACAUCGUACCGGCCAGACAGAUUAGAGAAAUAGUAUCAGCCGAGAAGUGCCGGACUCCUAAUAGGUACGAGUCUAUUAUCCCACCAUACUAUCACGAGCAAGUGGAAGAUGCUGAAGAAAGCGAGGAUGAGGAAGAUGAAGUUUCCGAGUUUGCUAAUUCUGCGUAUAUGUCAAAGAGAGGCUGCGGGUUCUUACCGCAGCUGUGCUUUAGGAAUUCCCUCGGCAUGCUGAAAACAGUGCCUGGUCUUAAGCCGAAACCUGACUCCCUGGUAACGUCAAGUCAUAGACAGGUCAAGGCAAGCAAGGUCUCUCAACUCAAAUCACAAUUCCAAACUGUAAAGAUUGCUCUAGAUUCAGUCUACAAACAAAAGUCUAGUGAUAGAGCUCAAUCUCCGAUGCACCCAAGUGUUGCGAAAAAGUUCAAUCGUGAAUCUGAACAACUUGGACAAAACCUGGCUACGGCUAGUAGAUCGUCGUCUCCUUACAGGCACGCUGGCUGUAUGUCACCGUACCGCAGCACUGCUAACAGUUCUCCUCUUCACCCAAUGGGUUUCCCUGGGACUCGCAAAGAGGCCGAGAAUUUGAGAGCUAACAGGUUGAACAAGCAUAUCAAAAGCAUUAGCAGGUCACAGGAAUUAAUAUAUCCGAAAAGCGCAAGACACGGCUGUUCUACAAUUUCUGUCCCGGAGAAGACUAUGUAUAUUGACACUGGAAAUUCUCCCAUUGCUAGCAAUCGGCAGAACUUGGACAUCAAGAUGUUGCCCGAACCCGAACUCGUGGAGACAGUUUCAGAGGAAGUGGACAAGACGAGCGGGAAAAAAUCAGACACGAAUCUUGAACUUGAUGCUAUUAGCAGUGGAGAAAUUGUGAAGGUGGAUGGGUUGGGAAAGAUCGAAAGAGGUGGCGAACCAUCUCCUCUAGCUCCACCCUUGCCCAAAAAGCCUUCUGAAUCAUGGCUUAUGCGUAAUCUGCCUUCAGUAAGCUCACAAAUCUCGUCACGUAGAUCUCCAUUCCGUCCCCAGAGAAUGAAUCCCGAAGAAAAAUCCAGCAGUGUUUCCAAGUGGGAAACUAUUGUCAAGACUUCCUAUGUGCACAGUGAUCAUAUACGGUAUUCUGAAGAACUGGUUGCUCAUACUCGUCGUAAAUCCAAAACUUAGUAAUCUGAACCUUCCUGAGAUGCUGACUUUCUGGGGUUUUCUCAGACGAUAUAAUCAUUUGCAGGCACGAUUCGAAGGAGAUAGGGAAUGACAAUAUCGGAAGUUAGCAUCCAAAUUUGCCGCCGAGAACCACGGAGGAAUAUCAACUACUGGACUACGCAAUCUGCAGGUUUCUAUUCCGAAUCCGACGGCAAAUACAUCUUCUCUUCAUCUUCACCUUUUGCUUCUUCAUUCAUCAGACUCUCCAGUCGUGGU
This is an RNA transcript of Tarenaya hassleriana, 2472 nucleotides long. RefSeq lists it as uncharacterized. The transcript is spliced from 6 exons. Lineage: Eukaryota; Viridiplantae; Streptophyta; Magnoliopsida; Brassicales; Cleomaceae. The record is from RefSeq and is a predicted model, not a curated record.